RNAcentral lists this transfer RNA (74 nucleotides) under Selaginella moellendorffii. RNAcentral describes it as "tRNA tRNA-Ile". It matches the Rfam family "tRNA". From Rfam's summary of the family: Transfer RNA (tRNA) molecules are approximately 80 nucleotides in length. Their secondary structure includes four short double-helical elements and three loops (D, anti-codon, and T loops). The record is from Rfam by way of RNAcentral. Lineage: Eukaryota; Viridiplantae; Streptophyta; Lycopodiopsida; Selaginellales; Selaginellaceae.
GGCCUAUUAGCUCAGUUGGUCAGAGCGUGGUGCUAAUAACGCCAAGGUCGCAGGUUCGAGACCUGCAUAGGCCA